UAUAGGAAGGAACACCAGUGGCGAGGGUGACACUCGGGCUUGACACUGACGCUGAGGUACGAAAAGCGUGGGGGAGCAAACAGGAUUAGAUACCCUGGUAGUCCACGCCGUAAACGAUGUCUACUAGUUGUCGGUGGUCUUGUACUGCUGGGUAACGCAGCUAACGCGAUAAGUAGACCGCCUGGGGGAGUACGGCCGCAAGGUUAAAACUCAAAUGAAUUGACGGGGGCCCGCACAAGCGGUGGAGCAUGUGGUUUAAUUUCGAAGCAACGCGAAGAACCUUACCUGGCCUUGACAUCCUGCGAAUCUCUUGGAGACAAGAGAGUGCCUUCGGGAACGCAGAGACAGGUGCUGCAUGGCUGUCGUCAGCUCGUGUCGUGAGAUGUUGGGUUAAGUCCCGCAACGAGCGCAACCCUUGUCCUCAGUUACCAGCACUUCGGGUGGGCACUCUGGGGAGACUGCCGGUGACAAACCGGAGGAAGGUGGGGGCGACGUCAAGUCAUCAUGGCCCUUACGGCCAGGGCUACACACGUGCUACAAUGGUGCAUACAGACGGUUGCCAAGCCGCGAGGUGGAGCUAAUCUGAGAAAGUGCAUCGUAGUCCGGAUUGGAGUCUGCAACUCGACUCCAUGAAGUCGGAAUCGCUAGUAAUCGUGAAUCAGAAUGUCACGGUGAAUACGUUCCCGGGCCUUGUACACACCGCCCGUCACACCAUGGGAGUGGGUUGCUCCAGAAGUGGUUAGCCUAACCUUCGGGAGGGCGAUCACCACGGAGUGAUUCAUGACUGGGGUGAAGUCGUAACAAGGUAACCA
This 812-nucleotide ribosomal RNA is filed under the name uncultured bacterium. Its description in RNAcentral is "bacterial SSU rRNA". It matches the Rfam family "Bacterial small subunit ribosomal RNA", at positions 695 to 1502 of the family's 1533-position model. The record is from RNAcentral.